This 72-nucleotide transfer RNA is filed under the name Pangasianodon hypophthalmus (striped catfish). Its description in RNAcentral is "tRNA-Ala". Lineage: Eukaryota; Metazoa; Chordata; Actinopteri; Siluriformes; Pangasiidae. The record is from RNAcentral.
UCCCUGGAGGACUAGUGGUUAGGCCACAGUGCUCGCACCACCGUGGCCAGGGAACGAUUCCUGGCCAGGGAA